Molecule: ribosomal RNA, 497 nt
Filed under: uncultured bacterium
Lineage: Bacteria
Description: partial 16S ribosomal RNA
Rfam family: Bacterial small subunit ribosomal RNA
Source: RNAcentral
GAUGAACGCUGGCGGCGUGCCUAAUACAUGCAAGUCGAGCGAACAGACGAGGAGCUUGCUCCUCUGACGUUAGCGGCGGACGGGUGAGUAACACGUGGAUAACCUACCUAUAAGACUGGGAUAACUUCGGGAAACCGGAGCUAAUACCGGAUAAUAUAUUGAACCGCAUGGUUCAAUAGUGAAAGACGGUUUUGCUGUCACUUAUAGAUGGAUCCGCGCCGCAUUAGCUAGUUGGUAAGGUAACGGCUUACCAAGGCAACGAUGCGUAGCCGACCGGAGAGGGUGAUCGGCCACACUGGAACUGAGACACGGUCCAGACUCCUACGGGAGGCAGCAGUAGGGAAUCUUACGCAAUGGGCGAAAGCCUGACGGAGCAACGCCGCGUGAGUGAUGAAGGUCUUCGGAUCGUAAAACUCUGUUAUUAGGGAAGAACAAAUGUGUAAGUAACUAUGCACGUCUUGACGGUACCUAAUCAGAAAGCCACGGCUAACUACGUG